UUGACCUCAAAUCAGGUAGGACUACCCGCUGAACUUAAGCAUAUCAAUAAGCGGAGGAAAAGAAACUAACAAGGAUUCCCCUAGUAACUGCGAGUGAAGCGGGAAAAGCUCAAAUUUGAAAUCUGGCAGUCUUUUUUUUCUUCUUUGGCUGUCCGAGUUGUAAUCUAGAGAAGUGCUUACCUGCACUGGACC
RNAcentral lists this ribosomal RNA (192 nucleotides) under Amanita olivaceogrisea. Its description in RNAcentral is "partial 28S ribosomal RNA". It matches the Rfam family "Eukaryotic large subunit ribosomal RNA", at positions 1 to 177 of the family's 3401-position model. The record is from RNAcentral. Lineage: Eukaryota; Fungi; Basidiomycota; Agaricomycetes; Agaricales; Amanitaceae.